UAGCGGCAACAAAUUGGAACGAUUCCAGCAUGUCUACCACGCGCUCUUCUUCUUCCUCUCAACGUGUAGCCACAACACAACAAACCCUCCCCGUUUUUCUCUUCUUCUUCUUUGACGCGUACCAAGCACGUGAGCAGCGAAGGCGGGUGCGACAGAAGGGCAACCAGAUUACUACGCUAUCUUCUGUUGUUUUCCUUCCUCCCAUUACUGUCCCAGCAGUACUUAUCCAGUGACAAAGCACGUGGGCUUGUCAAUAUUGAGCCGCGUAGCGCGAGAAGGACGACAUUUUGAUCUGGAACAUCAUUCUCCCUUGCCUCUUUAGGAAAUAGGUCAAAAGCUUCAAAAAGGUGGUUUCUCUGGAAAGGGCAAAGAAUUCAAAUUUGAAUUCAAAAUGGGCCUGGAACCCAUUUCACAUCCGAAUUUCCCCAAAAUUUGUAACCCUACAGUUCUCCUAUUUAAGGUCUCUUUUGUUCUUCCUAAUGGGGGGAGUUUUUUUUUUUUUAAGUCGAAAUUUUGGAAGAAACACAUCGAGAGCAACUUCAAGAAAAGUCUAACCAAAGGAAAAUAUACAAAAAACAUUUCAAGGUAGAGUGUAUUUUAGUUUUGAGCGAAGCAUCACUUUUUCUAUCGGUUUGCGUCGGUUUCCUUGAGUUUCGCGGAGAUUUGAGUUUCGAUGUUGGAAGUUCGUGGUCUUGCUCAUGUUGCCUAGUUCUCUGCCAUCGAAAAGGUUUCAGAGGUUGAAGAAUUCACUUUUGGGACGGAGUUUCUGUCACACCCCUUUUUCGUGCAGCGGCGUAAGGGUUUUUUCAAUUUAAGUGACGUUAUUAAUUAAGGGAUUAUUGUAAUUUUUCAGAGUUGCCACUUGGAAUUGAGUUACGGUGUUUCCAGUCACUUUUUUUGUUUAACCCCUAAUUAAAAGGAAAUGACUUUUUGUUUGGUCUGCGAACCAGAAAUUCGGGUAAGGAAUUCUGUUGACCGAAAGGAAGGUAUUAGGCACCCCUCGAUCACGUGGUUCUAGCAUGGUCGCUUUAUUGACUUUUGUAUGGCUUGACUUAAUUUUGAAUAUAUUAUGUUUAUUACCUAACAAUUUACUUA
Long non-coding RNA from Solanum pennellii, 1095 nucleotides. RefSeq lists it as uncharacterized. Lineage: Eukaryota; Viridiplantae; Streptophyta; Magnoliopsida; Solanales; Solanaceae. The record is from RefSeq and is a predicted model, not a curated record. The transcript has 2 exons.